AAGGAGCCAUGUGCCUGGCAAAUCAGC
Molecule: non-coding RNA, 27 nt
Filed under: Homo sapiens (human)
Lineage: Eukaryota; Metazoa; Chordata; Mammalia; Primates; Hominidae
Source: RNAcentral